This is a long non-coding RNA of Felis catus (domestic cat), 6290 nucleotides long. RefSeq lists it as uncharacterized. Lineage: Eukaryota; Metazoa; Chordata; Mammalia; Carnivora; Felidae. The transcript is spliced from 2 exons. The record is from RefSeq and is a predicted model, not a curated record.
CAGGUGCUGUAGGAAGAUACGUGGCAUGUUGGUACUCUAGUCAGAAAAACAGACUCAACUGACAACUUUCUUAUUCUAGGCCCAAAGUGGACUCAUUUGCAGGCACCCUCUUUAGGGGACAAAGGCUACCAGAGCCACUGGUGCCAGGCUGCAUCUACCCAGAGAAACAGGCAUUUUUCUAUUUGCACAAAGGCUGCCCAGAAGAUUUGUUUCUGCAGAGCAUAUGUGAAUGAGGGGGAAGGGGCAGAGAGGAAAGACAAUCCUGAGGAGGAUCCACUCUUACAGCCCAGGUGAUGUGGGGCUCGAACUCACCAACCGUGAGUUCAUGACCUGAGCUGAAACAGAGAGUCCGAUGCUUAACCGACAGCCACCCAGGGGUCCCAGUCCAUAAAUAUUUUCUGUGGACCCUGGGAUUUGGGAACUCUCAGCAUUCAAGGUUUGGUCCUAUUAUAGGAGCAGGUAGGAGUUUUCUUUGGGACCCAUUUGUAUAGUGGGAAUAGCAUAGGGAAGUUCUAGCUUUGUUUGAUACUGGUUGGAAAGGAGAGAGGAAUCAUUCUGGUUUUCUUCCACCCAACACCCUUGCCCAGGACCCAGCCUGGAUAGUGUACAAAUCCAACGUGGCUUCUGGACAACAACAAAAUUUCUAAUACUAGAUACCUUAUAAGGAUCCUAGUUUAACUUUCCCCCAGAGGACAUAAUUUAACACUAAAUUUUUACCCAAAUAAAGUUCAAAACCGUAAUUAACAAAAGUAUCAGAAUAUUUAAAUUACUGUAUUUAUCCUAAAGUAACAACCCUGUAUUUUUUGGAGGAGCGUUUUGGAUGAUGAUAUUUUGUAUCUCCAUCUUUUAACUUUUCUUUAAUAGGCCCCAGACCUUCAUGCUGCUCUCUGCCACCUUUCUCCCAUCAAAAUUUGUAUUUUAUGUGACAGAAUUGUGGUCCCUAAAGAUGAUGUUUAACUCUGAAAAUGUGUCUUCCACAAUGGUGUCUGUGGUGGUUUCUAUUAAGAAUGGGAAGGACAAAGGUCAUCUUUCCUCCCCGAAAACUUUACCCUUCCCACUUCACUUUCCAAGAGGAAUGUUCUCAGUGUCUCCUUACCAUGGAGCAGGUCUUUGGCUCCCAGUGAGCAAAGGCUGGAUGUUGGCCCUCCAGGGGUACUGUUCUCGGUUAUUGCUGCUGGGUUCUUGGCUCGCUUCUUGCACUCAAACACAACCAGAUCUUUGCAUUGUUUGUGGCAGUUCAUCCCGCAGUCUGUGGACAAGACAGGCUAGUCAGGAAGGCUUUGGCUUUCUUUUCCAGAGUCUCAAAACCACACUCAUGCAGGGCUGUCUUGUCACACAUGCCUGUCCUAGUCUGGAGCUAGGACACCUGCUAUUCCUAAUGAACCUAGUAGUUGUAUUUGGUCAACUCUGGAUCUUACCAUCUUGCUAUAGCCCUUAUCAUGAGUCUCAAGCAGCAUCCACUGUCUUGGAGACAAGUCAUGUCCUAGUCAUCCUGCAUAUACUGCCUACCUUAAGGAGACCCCCUAAAGGCUCCCAGCUCUUAGGUCUUACUCUUUCUUCCUUGCAGUAAAAGUCUCCUGUCCACUCCUGAAUUUUUCUAGUCAUAAGGAAGGACAAUUAGGCCCUGAGGUACCUACUGAUAAAAGGAAAACUGGCAAGGCCCUUUGGUAAUCACUUCCAUUCCCAAAGUGCCUUUCCUUAGGGACCCACCUUUUCAUGGCCAUAUGAAAGCCUCUCCUACCAGCGAUCUCUGUUUCCAGAACAACCCACACAGAGAGAGGACUUUGCAAGGGGAAGCUUUAUAACCGGUCACCCAGGCAUUCCUCUUCUCUGUGGUGGCAGUCACUCUCAGUGGGUGCUCUAGGGAAGCCAGUUUGGGGAUGAGGCUGUAAGCUGCACUGAGAAGUUGUGGAUUCAAUGGACAACUACUAUCGGUAAAAAAUGCUUUAUUAGGAGAGCGUCAAACACCAGAAAAAGCAAGACAAUCCACAAAACUGAGCCUUACCUUUACAUCGGUAUCCUUGUUUGAUCACUCCCCAGAGCUAUGAGACAAGAUAGGAGACAGUUAGAGCACACUAUACAUCCUUCAUCAAUCUGGUAUUAGGCGAGACAUUGAUACCCAUUCUUUAUUUUCCCUCAUUGUGCUCUCUUCCUCAAGGAAGGAAAGCCUUGUUUAUCUCCUGUCUUAACCCUCCUGACCUUAAACUGCAAACACGAAGAUUUUGUGAUCACAGUCUCAUGCUCUCAAGAAGCUCAGUAGUGUGGACUUAUGGCCUAGGCCUUCUUUUUUUUAAUUUUUUUUAAUGUUUAUUUCUGAAGGAAAGAGAGACUGAGCAUGAGUGGGGGAAGAGCAGAGAGAGGGAAACACAGAAUCUGAAGCAGGCUCUGAGCUGUCAGCACCGAGCCCUAUGAGGGGCUCAAACUCACAAACUGUGAGAUCAUGACCUGAGCCGAAGUCGAACGCUUAACAGCCUGAGCUACCCAGGCACCUCUAUGGUCUAGGCCUUCUUGAGGCUUGAAGUAGAUGAAUCAAAGAAUAAACAGGUUUCUCAGAACUCCAAACUAAAGAACAGUAUACAGAAUUCUGUGGUCAGGGAUUAGGUUGGACAGGGCUGGGACAGAGGAGGGGCAGAGCUACAUGGCUUCUUAACAGCAGUUUCUUUUGAAGGGGGAAGAGCAGGGAUGUCUCCUAUUUUUUUUUUUUUCUAACAUUGGAAACAGCAUCUGAAUAUAAUUACUUAAAAAGUAUGUCCCAAAUAUAACAUUUCCUUACCAUUUGUCCCAAGCCUCAUGCACCAGAGGUAAAAACAAUAUCCGGAAGAAAUGGUAACAUUAAAUUCAAGUUAACCAUGCAUCAAACCAUUUGAGAACAAGGUUAUUAGAGCUUAGGCUCUAAGCUGGCAUAGUUGAUAAGGGUUAUGAGGUCUGUGCCUGGCCUAAAGCUCAUUCAUACCGUCUCAUACCCCUCUUCAAGUUCGACCUGAAGCACUCUAGGAACAACUUACAAAUCCAGCACAGUUGUCACAGAAAGUAGGUUUCAGGUAGGUGGUCUCUUGGAAGUUGUGAGGAAAGCCCAGGCCCAGCUUGGAGUAGAUGGAGCUGGCUCUCAUGAAGUAGGCCGUUAUCUCCUCUCUGCUGAUGAGGCCUUCCCUGCCAGCGAGCGACAGACCAGGUGUGAGUAGGGUCUGAGGUAGUGAGACUGGCUUCUAGCCUUAGAAACUCACCUUUUUUGUUUUGCUUUUUGUUUUUAAUUUUUUUUUUAAGUUGAUUUAUUUGAACAAUCUCUAUACCACACGUGGAGCACGAACUCACUACCUCAAGGUCAGGAGCUGUACAUGUUCCACCGACUGAGCCAGCCAGGCACCCCUCACUUUUGUUUCUAUUCUGGCCAAAGCAGGUUUUCCUAGCAAAUUUUAAGACUUGAAAAAAGAAAUGGAAACUGCGUAUAGGGAGAGAAAUACCUUAUGCUGCGGUUUGCCUUUAGACAGUACAUGACAUAUAACUGGAACCCACGUGCCAUACCUUGGAUUUCACACAGAAAACCAAGAGAGUUUCUAUCAACUUCAGAAAAAUAGGCAAGGUAUUAAUAAAUAGUUGUUUCUCAUAAUCUGUAGCAAGAAGGAAGACUAAAGUUUUUCUUAUUUCUUGUUGACUAAACUGGCAGGUUUAUGAAAUUUUCAGUUCUGAGACAUUUAACACAGAUGUGUUUUUUAUUGUCUGUUGCGAUCUGAACCAAAACCAGACAGGUGCUCCCUUAGCACCAAGAGCCUCAUAUUCCAUACACAGACCCUCACCUGUCUUUGUCCAUCACACAGAAGGAAAAGGGGAAACUGGCGGCAAUCUUCUCAAACUCUUCCUGAGAAAUGUAUCCAUCCUGGUCAUGAUCAUAGUUCUUGAAGACCGACUGUGAAAAAAGGAGUUUCUCUGGUGAUUACCAAAGCGAAACCGGUCGUUUCUCCCUUCAGCCAAAUGACAAAGGGUUGAGCAUCUGAUAAAAGCCUCUCCUCAGCCUGAAUGAAAGGACACGGUUCCCUCAGGUCCAUUUGUGUACCAAUCGUGCCGUCUGCCCGGUGCCUGCGUGCUCCUAGCUCACUGCACAGGGGUGUCCCCCUCUGCUCUGCCCCCCUUCCACUGCUUCUGUGAACAGCCCAGCUGCAAGUGCUCCCUGCCCUGUAGUCCUCUACUAAUUAUUCUGACACGUACUGGCUCUCACUUUUCUGUUAUGCUGGAUUGGUCCAUAAGGAUGAAUAUAGACACACACUCUCCUCAGCAGUUAACCAUGAAGAGAAUCAGGAGGGCCAAAUUUGCAGUAUUAGAUUCUCCUUAUUAUCCUUAUUUCUACUAAAACCCUUCUACCACCUCUCUGCCCCCAAAUCCACUGCUAUGCUCUCCUGCUUGGUCUCUGAGAGGAGACACACACCCCCCUGCAACAGGAGGUCAAAGCGUGUUGGCAAAACGUAACCUAUGAACUGUCCUGCAGGCACAAUAUGAGGUGUGCGCUAGGAACAAGUGUCAGGUUUCCCACCUUUGCGCGUCUGCCACCGUGUCCCCCAGGCCGCAUACAGAACUAUGCCAGUUUGUAUGUGCCUUGCUUCCGUCUGCUGGAGCACAGCUGUACUUACAUCCACCAUCCUCUGGACGUGUUUGCUUAUGGUCUUUGGGUCAGGUUUGGGAGAUACUCCAGAAGCCCAGUCCACUACUACUGGAGGCUUUGAGGGUGUUAGUGGCUGAAAUGAAAUAUUCAGAGAAAUCCCUGUGACUAUAAAGCACUACAACCAGCAGCAACUUCCUUUCCCGCUACCUGAUGGCUGCAUCUAUGGACAGCCCUCAACUAUGUGCCAGGGCCAGGAACUGAGAGCCGGUGGAACUGAAAUCUUGAGCUCUAAUCCUGGCUAAUAACAACUGUUGUGCUUCAUAGCUGACAAAAUGCUUCUCACGUAUAUUAUCUCCAUCUACAGAUAAUUUAAACUUACCCAUUAGACUUUCUGUCAAACUGUCAGCAAAAGACUGGAUCAUUUAAAUUUUCUCUCUGUUCUCUACUUACUGGUUAAUAAAGAUGUGGAUGAGGAGAAAAACAGCUAAAAGGCAGGAUAACACAAGGAAGAAAGCCUGAGGCCUGGACAAGGGGAGAUGGAAUCCAUUCCUAAAUAUUUGAGACUUGACCGAAAUGGAGGAAGGUACCCUUUCCAUGGAAAUGCCUCUAACACCCUGAAAGUGGAACCUGCUAAGUAUUUUCAGUGAACAGCUUUCAUUAGAGUAGGAGCUAGAACUUGAUCUUUCGGUUGUAGAGACCGUAUCAUGUAGCCACCUGAACAGACAAAUUGAAUUUCUUAUGUGUGGAUAACUCUCUCCCCUGAGUACUAUCUGGGGACUGGGCAGCUUCCCUGGAGACUGCAGGGGAAUUCUGGUCCUUCACAAGGAAAACUGAAAUUUUCACCUGCCUGUACGGGAGGUGGGGCAAGACAACCUGUGUAGAUCCUUCCUUGCAGCACCAGGACUGCACUGGUGUGAGGACUUGUCAGCACAAGAGGUCAAAAGACCCAGGAGACUGUCCUUUCUGACCCAGAUGAAUACAGGAUGAUCUCUAUGGCUUUACUAAGUAGUAUACACUUAUCAUCAAAAAAUCAGAGAAGAGAAACGAAUGAUGUGAGGAUACUUUAUAAUAGGAAGGAGAUGUCACUAUGGCCCGCGACACCAUCUCCCUCCUCAGUAAACCACUGACUGACUGCACCUGUCAUUUGGAUGUGCUUAGGGCAUAUAUUUACAGUUCCUGUAUUAGUCUCAUCCCUUCAAGUAGACUGCAGGCUCUUUCUGGCCAAGAAUUACUUGUACAUAUGGUGAAGUUUUCUCUGUGCCUAGCACAAGGUUGGGCAGAGUGGAAACACAGUACUUAUCACAUAAAGAUUUGUUCCUUAAGAUGAUGAGCUCGAUGAGCAACUUGGAAAGCACCUGUUACAUGCAGCAAUCUUAGCAUAAAAAUAUGAACAACUCACUGGGGCUUUGUGGUUCCUUGGUUCCCGGGCAUAGGACAGCUCAUAGAUUUCAUCUUCAGUGUAGUAGAGAUCUAAGGACAACUGCAGAUCAAAACAGAACAGGGUUAACUGCUAGGAUGUUGUUUGCCUUUCCCAGGGUUGAUGGGUUUCUUUCUUGGUACCUCCUCCUCUCCUGUUGUUUAUUUACUCUUCUAGGCUCUUUGUUUUUAAGAUUCACAAAGCUUAGAGGGCGUAACACUUGGUACUGCAAUAAGGCAAACAUUAGCUCCUUAUUAAAAUGUUUUAAAUUUUGGAGAA